CCCGUGGUGGGUUCGGCUGCGCGGCGGGGCUGAGGCGGCCGCGAAGGUCCGAGCGCAGAAAGUGGACACUGGGUUCCUGAACCUCCUCACUGAAGACAGCCAGGCCUCAAGCACAGUUGAGAAGUUGUCUUGCUGUCCAGGCGGGUGUCCUUGCGCGGCACACCAGCACACCUGCACCUUCCCAGCUUUGUGCGUUUCUCAGGAUUUGUUUCAUCCACCAAGAGUGCACGGGAGCCACAGGGAGCACCUUCCAUCCUUGGACUGCUGGUCAGGAAAAUUAGCAAAGGCCUCAGGAAGAUGUAGAAGCAAACUAGAGCUCUGACCCGGUCUCUUCUCUGUUUGCUAUCUGGUCUUAUUCUCAAGAGGACUUUGCGUGGCUUUUUGUGAGAUAGGAAGAGGAAAUAGAGUGAAUGAAGUUUCCUUGCGGUUUUGCUGCCUGUGGCCUGCCUGCUCUUUCACUCAGCCUAGCCUCUUUCCCUGCGGGCAGGAUCAUGCUCUGUGCUCCUCUGCUUUUGUCGCAAGUGUCUUUGCUCCUCCCACGGAGUUUCCUCUUUCAUGCUAUCUUUAGAAUAAGCUUCCAUUUCUAGCAGAAAUUCUGGGGAGUUCCCUGAUGGCCUAGCUGUUAAGGAUCUGGUGUGGUCACUGCUGUGUUCAAUCCCUGUCCCAGAACUUCUGCAUGCCAUGGGCAAGAUCAAAAAAAAAAAAAAAUUCUGAUGGAUUUUUGAUUCAGGUUGUGUUUACUAUUUCAGUAAAUUUCAGGGAGCUCUGACAGCUUCAUAACAUACAUUCUUAUCCAAUGCGUGCGUGUGUGUAUGUGUGCAAAAGAAAAAAUGUUAGACAAGAAGGCAGACCCCAAAGAUGACGCAUUCUUUGAUUCCAUUUAGAUGAAAUUUCCAGAAAAGGCAAAUCUGCAGGGCUGGACUGGGUUUUCCAGGGGCUGGGGAUGAGCUGUGCUUGGGCACCAGGCAUUUACCAGGCGAAGGGAAGGAUCCAGAACUCUGUGCCGUGUGGCGGGGGUGGCUGUGAAAUGACUGAAAAAUCCUUGAAUUAUGUACUUCCAACUGGCUGAUUUUAUGACAUGUAGAAAGUGAGCCUCAGUAAAGUUAUUAGCUCAGCUGGGGAGAGAAGCUGUCCCUGCAGACAGUGACCAGAAGCUGAGAUUGGAGGCCUGGGGUCCAUCUGGCUUGUUUAUGUUCCGCCAAGGCCCAGUGUUAACUCUGGUUCACAAAGUCGCCAAGCAGGAGGGGAGUUGGGAGAGCCACCGGCAGCCUGGCGAGGCUGUUGCAGGGUGUCUGUGUCUAAGUUUCUUUCUUUUUUUUUUUUUUUUUUUUUUAUUUUCCCACUGUACAGCAAGGGGGUCAGGUUAUCCUUACAUGUAUACAUUACAAUUACGUUUUUUCCCCCACCCUUUGUUCUGUUGCAACAUGAGUAUCUAGACAUAGUUCUCAAUGAGAAACUGAGAAGUUUCCAUCAUGGCUCACUGGGUUAAGGACCUGAUGUUGUCUGUGAGGAUGUGGGUUCAAUCCCUGAUCUCCCUCAGCAGGUUAAGGAUCUGGUGUUGUCACAGGCAGUGGCAUAGGUCACAGAUGCAGCUCAGAUCUGGUGUUGUCAUGGCUGUGGCUUGGAUUUUACUUAUUUACUUAUUUGCUUUUUAGGGCUACACCCAUGGCAUAUGGAAGUUCCCAGGCUAGGAGUCGAAUCAGAGCUGCAGCUGCUGGCCUACACCACAGCCAUUGCAAUGUAGGAUCUGAGCCACAUCUGUGACCUAUACCAGCACUCAUGGCAAUGCCAGAUCCAUAAUCCACUGAGCGAGGCCAGGGAUCAAACCUGCAUCCUCAUGGAUCCUAGUUGGAUUCGUUUUCUCUGCAUGACAACUGGAACUCCAUGUGGCUCUGAUUUGAUCCUGGGCCCAGGAACUUCCAUAUGCGGCAGGUGCUGCCAAAAAAAAAGAAACUUCAUUUAGAGAAAGACAAAGGAGAGGCAAGUCACACCACAGCCCCUGCCCAGUGAGGACCGCUGCCAUGACACCUCGGUGAGCAACCUAGAUUUCCAUCUUCUUUCCUCAUACUGGCUUCACAUUUUGUGUUAGAGGCAAGUUAUAAUUUAUUUCUUUUUAAAAACUUUACUUUGUUGAGUUCCCGUCGUGGAUCAGUGGUUAACAAACCCAACUUGGAUCCAUGAGGUUGCAGGUUCAAUCCCCGGCCUCACUCGGUGGGUUAAGAAUCUGGCAUUGCUGUGAGCUGUGGUAGAGGUCACAGAGGCGGCUCAGAUCUGGUAUUGUGAGUGUGGUGUGGGCCGGCAGCUGUAAUUCCGAUUCAGUCCUAGCCUAGGAGCUUCCAUAUGCU
RNAcentral lists this long non-coding RNA (2345 nucleotides) under Sus scrofa (pig). Its description in RNAcentral is "lncRNA (ENSSSCG00000062558.1)". Lineage: Eukaryota; Metazoa; Chordata; Mammalia; Artiodactyla; Suidae. The record is from RNAcentral.